CAUGUAGGCGGAUUGAUAAGUUUGAAGUGAAAUCCUAUAGCUUAACUAUAGAACUGCUUUGAAAACUGUUAAUCUAGAAUGUGGGAGAGGUAGAUGGAAUUUCUGGUGUAGGGGUAAAAUCCGUAGAGAUCAGAAGGAAUACCGAUUGCGAAGGCGAUCUACUGGAACAUUAUUGACGCUGAGACGCGAAAGCGUGGGGAGCAAACA
This 207-nucleotide ribosomal RNA is filed under the name uncultured bacterium. RNAcentral describes it as "partial 16S ribosomal RNA". It matches the Rfam family "Bacterial small subunit ribosomal RNA", at positions 568 to 774 of the family's 1533-position model. The record is from RNAcentral.